This 461-nucleotide ribosomal RNA is filed under the name uncultured Acidimicrobium sp. RNAcentral's name for it is "bacterial SSU rRNA". It matches the Rfam family "Bacterial small subunit ribosomal RNA", at positions 96 to 570 of the family's 1533-position model. The record is from RNAcentral. Lineage: Bacteria; Bacillati; Actinomycetota; Acidimicrobiia; Acidimicrobiales; Acidimicrobiaceae.
CGGCGAACGGUCGCGUAACACGUAAGCAACCUGCCGAGAAGACCGGGACAACAUUCCGAAAGGAGUGCUAAUACCGGAUGUGGCACUGGGGGGCAUCCUCUGGUGAUUAAACCGAGCAAUCGGCUUCUUGAGGGGCUUGCGGCCUAUCAGCUAGUUGGUGGGGUAACGGCCUACCAAGGCGACGACGGGUAGCUGGUCUGAGAGGACGGCCAGCCGGACUGGGACUGAGAUACGGCCCAGACUCCUACGGGGGGCAGCAAUUAGGAAUCUUGCGCAAUGGGGGAAACCCUGACGCAGCGACGCCGCGUGGAGGAGGAAGUCCUUCGGGAUGUAAACUCCUUUCGGGUGGGAAGAAACAAAUGACGGUACCACCUGAAUAAGCCCCGGCUAACUACGUGCCAGCAGCCGCGGUAAUACGUAGGGGGCGAGCGUUGUCCGAAGUUACUGGGCGUAAAGCGCGC